UGGCGAUGAUGAUAAAACUAAGGCUUGUUUCUCAAAACAUUUGCAGUUGCCGCCUAAGAGCUUUCGCCCUGCCAGGCUUGAGAGCUAAUGCUGCUAAUUCCUUCCUUGGAUGUCUGAGCCA
Molecule: non-coding RNA, 121 nt
Organism: Triticum aestivum (bread wheat)
Lineage: Eukaryota; Viridiplantae; Streptophyta; Magnoliopsida; Poales; Poaceae
Source: Rfam